This 430-nucleotide ribosomal RNA is filed under the name Corucia zebrata. RNAcentral's name for it is "partial 16S rRNA". It matches the Rfam family "Bacterial large subunit ribosomal RNA", at positions 1970 to 2594 of the family's 2925-position model. Lineage: Eukaryota; Metazoa; Chordata; Lepidosauria; Squamata; Scincidae. The record is from RNAcentral.
UGUCUUCUAAAUAAAGACCAGUAUGAAUGGCUAAAUGAGGACAAACCUGUCUCUUACAGCUAAUCAGUGAAACUGAUUAUCCAGUACAAAAGCUGGAAUAAACCCAUAAGACGAGAAGACCCUGUGGAGCUUAAAACCAACAACUAAUAAACACCCAUAAAGUGAACCUAGUCUUAAGUUUUGAGUUGGGGCGACUUCGGAACAAAACAAAACUUCCGAGCACAGAACCACCACUUCUCACCAAGGCUAACAAGCCAAAGUAUAUACCGACCCAGUCACACUGAUCAACGAACCAAGUUACCCCAGGGAUAACAGCGCUAUCUUCUUCAAGAGUCCCUAUCGACAAGAAGGUUUACGACCUCGAUGUUGGAUCAGGACACCCAAAUGGUGUAGCCGCUAUUAAAGGUUCGUUUGUUCAACGAUUAACAGU